Phymastichus coffea is the source of this 1343-nucleotide long non-coding RNA. RefSeq lists it as uncharacterized. The transcript has 3 exons. The record is from RefSeq and is a predicted model, not a curated record. Lineage: Eukaryota; Metazoa; Arthropoda; Insecta; Hymenoptera; Eulophidae.
AAGCACAUAUAAAAACUGUUCCUGCUGCUGCUUUUAAUAAAUCUGGAACGAUGAAUUUCGACUCAGGUCCUGUAACAGAAGGUGUUCAUAAAAUUGAUCUGCAAAUUUCUUCGUUCGUAGAUACUGAUGCUAACAACUUUACAAAGGGCAUUUGUUUUUUUCAUUAGAUGCCAUUUGAGUAACAUAGGAUUAUUUACAGGAUUGCAUCUAAAAAUGAUUUCAUAUUUGAAAGUGAUCGUGCAUAAUACUAUUGAUCAAAUUAUUUUCAAUUACAUUUUAGACAUGAUCUUAUGCAUAAUUCUAUGCAUAAUCGACACAAUAUUUUACGUCUAAAAAUCUCCUUCUACAUAAUGAAAAUCUUGAAAUAUUAUUGAUAAUGUAUACUGAGAUAUAACAGCCUUCUUAAAAUUUUCAAUUUUAUACAUAGUCCUAGAUAUAAUUUUUCAACGUUCGAAAGUAGUUAUUGUUUGUCAACAUGUCUCUUUUAUCCAAAAGUUUGGACAUAGAGGAUCCUUUGACAAUAAAAGUGGUUAUGAAGGAAAACAAACCUUUGUUGAAACGCACUGCUACAGAGCAGGAAAAUGAAGAUCCAACAAAGAAAAAGAAAUCUCACGAUGACGGAGCAACCGGACAGUUGGUUGGAGGAAACACUACACAAGCAUGGAAACCGCUGUGUAAAAAAUACUUUACGAACAUAUUUGCCCUUCAUAGUUUAUUUCAAUCAUUUUUUAUUUUUUAAAUAAUGUAUCCACUUUCAUAUUUCUCUUAUUUGAAAAACGCUUCUCACUUAAAUUGUUUUGCUACAAUUUUCUUAAUGAAUGCUAUUUUUUCGAAAUUGUUAAAUGAAAGCCUGUUAUUUAUUGAAGUUUAAGUUUAAGGUUAAAGCUGAUAGGUAAAAGUUUUAGACUUUUUCAAAGGUAGUGAACGAAUAGAUUAUAAACUAAUUUAAUUAGUUUAUGUAGUAGUAUAUAAUGAUUAUGUUACGUUAAUUAUAUAUAGAUUCAAUAAUUUAAUGUAAAACUAAACCAGAUAGCCUUCGAGUAAUUUAUAUGAAAAUAUGACUGAUAUAUUUAAAAGAUAUAUUGUCUAUUUAUUUGAGUAUUUAUUAUGUGCUUAAAUAUUUGAAAGUAACAUUUGAUAUUAUAUUUAAAAAAAACAAUAUAGUAUUUUUCUACGUGAGACUCAUUAUGUGUACAUAAUAUUACUUUGCAGUAUUCAUAAAUAUUUCUAUAUUGAUUGUGGAAAUAUUUUUUAUUUAACGUCGUUGUGAUCUCCCGUAAGGGAUUCUAAUUAACGGAUGUUCGCAUUUGAUGUUAAGGUACAUUUGAAAUAUAUUAUUUAAA